RNAcentral lists this ribosomal RNA (497 nucleotides) under uncultured bacterium. RNAcentral describes it as "partial 16S ribosomal RNA". It matches the Rfam family "Bacterial small subunit ribosomal RNA", at positions 28 to 507 of the family's 1533-position model. The record is from RNAcentral.
GGCGAACGCUGGCGGCGUGCCUAAUACAUGCAAGUUGAGCGCUGAAGGUUGGUACUUGUCCCGACUGGAUGAGCAGCGAACGGGUGAGUAACGCGUGGGGAAUCUGCCUUUGAGCGGGGGACAACAUUUGGAAACGAAUGCUAAUACCGCAUAAAAACUUUAAACACAAGUUUUAAGUUUGAAAGAUGCAAUUGCAUCACUCAAAGAUGAUCCCGCGUUGUAUUAGCUAGUUGGUGAGGUAAAGGCUCACCAAGGCGAUGAUACAUAGCCGACCUGAGAGGGUGAUCGGCCACAUUGGGACUGAGACACGGCCCAAACUCCUACGGGAGGCAGCAGUAGGGAAUCUUCGGCAAUGGACGAAAGUCUGACCGAGCAACGCCGCGUGAGGGAAGAAGGUUUUCGGAUCGUAAAACUCUGUUGGUAGAGAAGAACGUUGGUGAGAGUGGAAAGCUCAUCAAGUGACGGUAACUACCCAGAAAGGGACGGCUAACUACGUG